GAUGAACGCUGACAGAAUGCUUAACACAUGCAAGUCAACUUGAACUUCGGUUUGGGUGGCGGACGGGUGAGUAACGCGUAAAGAACUUGCCUCACAGCUAGGGACAACAUUUGGAAACGAAUGCUAAUACCUGAUAUUAUGAUUAUAUGGCAUCGUAUAAUUAUGGAAGCUAUAUGCGCUGUGAGAGAGCUUUGCGUCCCAUUAGCUAGUUGGAGAGGUAACAGCUCACCAAGGCGAUGAUGGGUAGCCGGCCUGAGAGGGUGAUCGGCCACAAGGGGACUGAGACACGGCCCUUACUCCUACGGGAGGCAGCAGUGGGGAAUAUUGGACAAUGGACCGAGAGUCUGAUCCAGUAAUUCUGUGUGCACGAUGAAGUUUUUCGGAAUGUAAAGUGCUUUCAGUUGGGAAGAAAAAAAUGACGGUACCAACAGAAGAAGUGACGGCUAAAUACGUG
RNAcentral lists this ribosomal RNA (454 nucleotides) under uncultured bacterium. Its description in RNAcentral is "partial 16S ribosomal RNA". It matches the Rfam family "Bacterial small subunit ribosomal RNA", at positions 28 to 507 of the family's 1533-position model. The record is from RNAcentral.